Molecule: ribosomal RNA, 796 nt
Filed under: uncultured bacterium
Lineage: Bacteria
Description: bacterial SSU rRNA
Rfam family: Bacterial small subunit ribosomal RNA
Source: RNAcentral
CAGUCGAGGGGCAGCAUGGUCUUAGCUUGCUAAGGCCGAUGGCGACCGGCGCACGGGUGAGUAACACGUAUCCAACCUGCCGUCUACUCUUGGACAGCCUUCUGAAAGGAAGAUUAAUACAAGAUGGCAUCAUGAGUCCGCAUGUUCACAUGAUUAAAGGUAUUCCGGUAGACGAUGGGGAUGCGUUCCAUUAGAUAGUAGGCGGGGUAACGGCCCACCUAGUCUUCGAUGGAUAGGGGUUCUGAGAGGAAGGUCCCCCACAUUGGAACUGAGACACGGUCCAAACUCCUACGGGAGGCAGCAGUGAGGAAUAUUGGUCAAUGGGCGAGAGCCUGAACCAGCCAAGUAGCGUGAAGGAUGACUGCCCUAUGGGUUGUAAACUUCUUUUAUAAAGGAAUAAAGUCGGGUAUGGAUACCCGUUUGCAUGUACUUUAUGAAUAAGGAUCGGCUAACUCCGUGCCAGCAGCCGCGGUAAUACGGAGGAUCCGAGCGUUAUCCGGAUUUAUUGGGUUUAAAGGGAGCGUAGAUGGAUGUUUAAGUCAGUUGUGAAAGUUUGCGGCUCAACCGUAAAAUUGCAGUUGAUACUGGAUAUCUUGAGUGCAGUUGAGGCAGGCGGAAUUCGUGGCGUAGCGGUGAAAUGCUUAGAUAUCACGAAGAACUCCGAUUGCGAAGGCAGCCUGCUAAGCUGCAACUGACAUUGAGGCUCGAAAGUGUGGGUAUCAAACAGGAUUAGAUACCCUGGUAGUCCACACGGUAAACGAUGAAUACUCGCUGUUUGCGAUAUACUGCAAGCGGC